Long non-coding RNA from Oenanthe melanoleuca, 2292 nucleotides. RefSeq lists it as uncharacterized. The transcript has 2 exons. NCBI's taxonomy places the organism in Eukaryota, Metazoa, Chordata, Aves, Passeriformes, Muscicapidae. The record is from RefSeq and is a predicted model, not a curated record.
UCGCCGCCAUCGCUCCGGUCCGGCGCCGUGGAUGCCGGCGACCUGCACCCCCCCCGUCGGAGGCGUGGUCUCGUAUCGACCAGCAGGCAUGGCAGAAAUCCCCACGGGUUUUGGGAGACGGUCAGGAUGGGAGCAUUGGAAAAGGGGGAUUGGGACCUCUUAGAGAAGCCAGGGAAACGAAAAGACGAGCGCUGCGGGGUACAGCGCGCAGAUACAAGCAGUACCCCAGAAUCUGGCAGUGACACAGGUUUCCUCAGGCAGCAUGCAGCCAGCACCCGUGGCUCAGCCGGCGUGGAUGUAUACACCUCAGACACAGUCAUCUUAGACUCUGACAGGGUACACAAGGUUCCUCUGAAUGCCACUGGGCCUCUGGGCCAGGGGCUGAGUGCACUACUCAUAGGAAGGUCUAGUGCCACUCUUCAGGGAAUCUUUGUUCACCCUGGAGUCAUUGAUGCUGAUUUCACAGGUCAAAUAUAUGCCAUGGUUUCUACGCCUUCUCCCCCUGUCACUAUUCCGGCAGGAACUCGAAUUGCUCAACUUGUGCCUUUUCAUUCAUCUGUUCUCAGGGCAGAUCAACAAGAUCGCAAAGACGGUGGUUUCGGAUCCACAGGACCGCCACAAGUCUUUUGGACAAUGAAUAUCUCCGACCAGCGCCCACAGAUGAUGUGCACUUUGACCCUCUCAGGUGCCACCCCAUCUCAGGUUCAACUCAGAGGUUUGAUUGAUACCGGGGCAGAUGUAACGGUGAUUUCUCUUUCUGCCUGGCCUCCCACAUGGCCCCUGGCCCCUCUUGGCCAAGCCAUUGCAGGCUUGGGAGGCACAGCACAGACUUUUAUUAGUCAAAGGCCUGUGUUGAUCAGAAAUAUGGAAGGGCAGACGGCUACAGUCCGACCCUACAUCACUGCAGCCCCUAUCAACCUCUGGGGACGGGAUGUGUUGGCAGCCUGGGGUGUGCGCAUGGAAGCAAAUUUUUAAUAGGGGUCACUGAAGCGAAGGGCAAAAGUUAUCCAAUGAUGCCUUUACGGUGGUUGACGAAUACCCCUGUUUGGCAAAACCAGUGGCCCCUGCCAAAAGAGAAGUUGAUAGCCCUUCGUGAAUUAGUGCAAGAACAGUUACAACAGGGACACAUAGAACCCUCUACUAGUCCCUGGAAUUCCCCAGUUUUCGUAAUAAAGAAAAAAUCAGGUAAAUGGAGGUUGUUACAGGACCUCAGAAAAAUUAAUGCAGUUAUGGAAAGCAUGGGGGCUUUACAGCCUGGUAUGCCUUCACCCACCAUGCUCCCCGCUGGAUGGGAAAUUUUGGUCAUUGAUUUGAAGGACUGUUUUUUUACAAUCCCCUUGUGCCCUGUGGACAGACCAAAAUUCAUGUUUUUACAGUGCCUGCAAAUUCUGUGAUGGGACAGAGAUAUCAAUUGAAAGUUUUGCCAAUUAGCCUGACACACUGCAGCAGGCUGCAGCAAGCUUUUUACUUACCAGGUAUACCGAGUGGAUCCUUCCAUUGAUUCCUCUGUGUUUAUCAGCACUCCGGAUUUACAUCCUACAGGUAUCAUUGGCCAGUUACCUGGGAGGAUGAGUCUGGUUUGCAAAUGCUGGAAGGCCAUGAGACAGGUUCUGCUCAGAUAAUUGAGUUGAAAGCAGUCACAAUGGCAUUCUAACAAUUUUCUCAGGUACUUUUGAAUUUGGUCAAAAAGUUUUUAUAUAAACAGAAAAGGGGAGUGGCUGGUGAAGAACCACACAGCCGAUUGGGAAAAGUUUUGUAUACCUUCAAUCACCUUACUGUGCCACAAGAUUCUAAUAAUCUUGUUUUUGUGAGUUAUUUCACUUUCUUACAGGCUGCAGAUGAUACAUGCCUGCCUCAUCGUUUGGGGAAGUGGGUAUGCUUGCAUCUCAACAGAUACUGGGAUGCACUGCCUGCCUGCAAGGUGUGUCCGCCCUGACCUGUGACAUCAGGGACAGAAUGCAGCCGAGGCACAGUCUUCAAAUGCUGAACAAUAUGCCGAUCACCAGCCAGACGAUCCCUCUGCAAGCAGAGGAUGAGCAUUCAUCUGUUUCUUUGGAAAUGUUUUAGCUUUGGGACAUUGUUAAAUAAGCUCUUUUGGAAUAUAUUAAGAAAUUAUAAGUUUGGAAAAUGGUGAUGGGUUUUGCUAUCAAUGUUAGCACUGAGUUUUUCAAAAAGCACCAGGUGUGAGGAUUUCCCUGAGUGCUUCAGGCAUCCACAGAUCUCCAGAGUGGUGUUUGUUCUCCUCCACGUAGGGCCCCCGUGGAGGACUACAAGCACUUCUUUUCUUUUCUU